Molecule: ribosomal RNA, 437 nt
Filed under: uncultured bacterium
Lineage: Bacteria
Description: bacterial SSU rRNA
Rfam family: Bacterial small subunit ribosomal RNA
Source: RNAcentral
AUUGAACGCUGGCGGCAUGGCUAAUGCAUGCAAGUCGAACGAAAGCCCUUCGGGGCGAAAGUGGCGAAAGGGCGAGUAAUACGAUCGAACGUACCCCAAGGUGGAGGAUAGUGUCGGGAAACUGACGGUAAUACUCCAUGUGCUCUUCGGAGGAAAGCUUUGGCGCCUCGGGAGCGGCGAUCGUCCUAUCAGGUAGUUGGUGAGGUAAUGGCUCACCAAGCCGAAGACGGGUAGCGGGUGUGAGAGCAUGACCCGCCGCAUCGGGACUGAGACACUGCCCGGACUCCUACGGGAGGCUGCAGCGACGAAUCUUCCGUAAUGGGCGCAAGCCUGACGGAGCAAUGCCGCGUGUGGGACGAAGCGUCUUCGACGUGUAAACCACUGUCAGAAUCUAGGAACACUGACCAGAUUCAAAGGAAGGGCCGGCUAACCUCGUG